Molecule: ribosomal RNA, 1072 nt
Filed under: Citrobacter freundii
Lineage: Bacteria; Pseudomonadati; Pseudomonadota; Gammaproteobacteria; Enterobacterales; Enterobacteriaceae
Description: partial 23S ribosomal RNA
Rfam family: Bacterial large subunit ribosomal RNA
Source: RNAcentral
UUUACUCAUGGAGCUGAAAUCAGUCGAAGAUACCAGCUGGCUGCAACUGUUUAUUAAAAACACAGCACUGUGCAAACACGAAAGUGGACGUAUACGGUGUGACGCCUGCCCGGUGCCGGAAGGUUAAUUGAUGGGGUUAUCCGUAAGGAGAAGCUCUUGAUCGAAGCCCCGGUAAACGGCGGCCGUAACUAUAACGGUCCUAAGGUAGCGAAAUUCCUUGUCGGGUAAGUUCCGACCUGCACGAAUGGCGUAAUGAUGGCCAGGCUGUCUCCACCCGAGACUCAGUGAAAUUGAACUCGCUGUGAAGAUGCAGUGUACCCGCGGCAAGACGGAAAGACCCCGUGAACCUUUACUAUAGCUUGACACUGAACACUGGUCCUUGAUGUGUAGGAUAGGUGGGAGGCUUUGAAGUGUGGACGCCAGUCUGCAUGGAGCCAUCCUUGAAAUACCACCCUUUAAUGGCUGGUGUUCUAACGUGGACCCGUUACCCGGGUUGCGGACAGUGUCUGGUGGGUAGUUUGACUGGGGCGGUCUCCUCCUAAAGAGUAACGGAGGAGCACGAAGGUUAGCUAAUCCUGGUCGGACAUCAGGAGGUUAGUGCAAAGGCAUAAGCUAGCUUGACUGCGAGAGUGACGGCUCGAGCAGGUGCGAAAGCAGGUCUUAGUGAUCCGGUGGUUCUGAAUGGAAGGGCCAUCGCUCAACGGAUAAAAGGUACUCCGGGGAUAACAGGCUGAUACCGCCCAAGAGUUCAUAUCGACGGCGGUGUUUGGCACCUCGAUGUCGGCUCAUCACAUCCUGGGGCUGAAGUAGGUCCCAAGGGUAUGGCUGUUCGCCAUUUAAAGUGGUACGCGAGCUGGGUUUAGAACGUCGUGAGACAGUUCGGUCCCUAUCUGCCGUGGGCGCUGGAGAAUUGAGGGGGGCUGCUCCUAGUACGAGAGGACCGGAGUGGACGCAUCACUGGUGUUCGGGUUGUCAUGCCAAUGGCAUUGCCCGGUAGCUAAAUGCGGAAGAGAUAAGUGCUGAAAGCAUCUAAGCACGAAACUUGCCCCGAGAUGAGUUCUCCCUGAGACUA